RNAcentral lists this ribosomal RNA (301 nucleotides) under uncultured bacterium. RNAcentral describes it as "partial 16S ribosomal RNA". It matches the Rfam family "Bacterial small subunit ribosomal RNA", at positions 509 to 807 of the family's 1533-position model. The record is from RNAcentral.
CAGUAGCCGCGGUAAAACAGAGGGUGCGAGCGUUAAUCGGAUUUACUGGGCGUAAAGCGUGCGUAGGCGGCUUCUUAAGUCGGAUGUGAAAUCCCUGAGCUUAACUUAGGAAUUGCAUUCGAUACUGGGAAGCUAGAGUAUGGGAGAGGAUGGUAGAAUUCCAGGUGUAGCGGUGAAAUGCGUAGAGAUCUGGAGGAAUACCGGUGGCGAAGGCGGCCCCCUGGACAAAGACUGACGCUCAGGUGCGAAAGCGUGGGGAGCAAACAGGAUUAGAUACCCCCGUAGUCCCUGUCUCUUAUAC